This 343-nucleotide unclassified non-coding RNA is filed under the name soil metagenome. Its description in RNAcentral is "partial contains 5.8S ribosomal RNA, internal transcribed spacer 2, and large subunit ribosomal RNA". The stretch from base 1 to 120 matches the Rfam family "5.8S ribosomal RNA", at positions 35 to 154 of the family's 154-position model. The record is from RNAcentral.
GAUGAAGAACGCAGCGAAAUGCGAUAAGUAAUGUGAAUUGCAGAAUUCAGUGAAUCAUCGAAUCUUUGAACGCACAUUGCGCCCGCCAGUAUUCUGGCGGGCAUGCCUGUUCGAGCGUCAUUUCAACCCUCAGGCCCCGCCUGGCGUUGGGGAUCGGCGCGGCCCUCUCCGGGCUGCCGGCCCCGAAAACUAGUGGCGGUCUCGCUGUAGUCCUCCUCUGCGCAGUAGCGAUGCUCGCACUGGAACUCGGCGCGGCCACGCCGUAAAACACCCCACUUCUGAAAGUUGACCUCGGAUCAGGUAGGAAUACCCGCUGAACUUAAGCAUAUCAAUAAGCGGAGGA